CUUAUCAAAUAAAAUCGCACAUAUUGUGCAGAAUUCUUAUUUGCGCUUUAUGUGGAAUAAAGAACCAGAAAUGCGGAGAUCUGAAUGGACCUGGGGAGGCUGAGAAGUUGGUUGCCAUGAUACGAAUGUAUUCUAAUCCUGACUAUGAUGAAAAAAUGUUGAAUCUCCUGGCUGGGAUUUGCCCAACUUGUAAAACUCGUAUCUGUGGAUUGGGAAGAGGUGAAGUGAUAUCUAUACAAGUUCAGAUGAACUGGAUCCUUCAUGCUGAAAGAAUGAAACUUUUACCAAGAUUUAGAGGAGAUGGACAGGGUGUGUGUACAUGCGUGAUUUGCUCAGCAGCAAGAGUAAGAUGAAAACUAUUUAUAUAAAGGACUUGAUGGAGUAUGAGAAAGAAAAUGAGCUGAACAUCCAGAUUCUUAUAGAGAAAGAUCAAAUUUGUUCUGAAUGUUUUGCAACUUUAGGACCUGGGAAAAGACAUCCAUGCAACAAAGCUGAUACAAUUUCAAAUCUCAAAAUUAUCUUGUUUUCGAAGGGACCAAGAACUACAGAGUAAGUUCUAUCUACGAUAUUGAAGGAUAUGAGGGAAGAUCAGAACACCCAAGAUGUUAAGCUAUCAACUUUAGGCAAACCACUUCCAGUUCAUGUUGGCAUGUCAAAAAUGAAGAAAAGAAUAUCCUCUGAAACACUAUUUGGAUUAAAGCAGAAACAUGACUUCUCAGAGACAGUUAUAGAUUCAAUAGCAGCUGCGUGUAGGAAAGAUCUGGGUCGAACUGGAGUUCAAUCCAACUCAUCAUCAAAUAUAAAAGAAUGGUCACAUUCCUUAGUAACAAAGUAACA
This is a long non-coding RNA of Eurytemora carolleeae, 837 nucleotides long. RefSeq lists it as uncharacterized. Lineage: Eukaryota; Metazoa; Arthropoda; Copepoda; Calanoida; Temoridae. The record is from RefSeq and is a predicted model, not a curated record. The transcript has 6 exons.